Molecule: transfer RNA, 68 nt
Filed under: Ruidocollaris sinensis
Lineage: Eukaryota; Metazoa; Arthropoda; Insecta; Orthoptera; Tettigoniidae
Description: tRNA-Asp
Source: RNAcentral
AAGAAAUUAGUUAAAUAAUAACAUUAGAAUGUCAAACUAAAAUUAUUAAAAAAUAUUAAUAUUUCUUA